GCAGCUUCAGCUCCAGCCAUGGCUAAAAGGGACCAAGGUACAGCUUGGAUCAUGGCUUCAUAAAGUGCAAGCUCCAAGCCUUGGCAGCUUCCAUAUGGUGUUGAGCCUGCAGGUGCACAGAAGUCAAGAAUUGAGGUGGAAGGAACUUGCCUUGUCUCAGAUGAGACUUUGGACUUGGACUUUUGAGUUAAUGCUGGAAUGAGGACUCAGGCUUGCAGACCUGCAUCCUCUGGAAUGUUGUUGGUCACCAUGGCUGGAGGAAGGGAAGAUGUCUCCUCCGCUGAACCUAAAGGCUUCUACCUGAAGAGACGUACAUCAAUUCUGCUCACAUUUCAUUGGCCAAAGCAAGUUACAUGGCCACACCUAAUUUCAAGGAUUUGGGGAAUUGUGGUCUAAUAUGAGGAUCACUUGCUAAUACAUUAUAUGGCUUGAGAACACUGCAGGAAGAGAAAGUCUGGAAAUAUUGAUAAAUAGUUCUAAUGACUGCUUUAGUACCAAAUUCACAAAAUUGUCCUGUGAGCUCACUUGACUCUAGUGGUGUUGACUAGCCCUAAUAAGAGUUUGGAUGUUGUCCCCACCCAAACCUUAUAUUCAAAUGUAAUCCCCAGUAUUGGAGGUAGGGCUUGCUGGGAGGUGAUUGGCUCAUAGGGGUGGAUUUCUUAUGAAUGGUUUAGUAACAUCCCCUUGGUAUUGUCCUCACGAUAGUGGGUGAGUUCUCAUGAUAUCUGGGUCAUUUAAAAGUGUGUAACACCUCUCCUCUCUUUCUCUUGUUCCUGCUUUCACCAUGUGCCAUGAUUGGAAGCUUCUUGAAGCCUCCUGAGAAGCAGAUGCCACUAUGCAGCCUGCAGUUCCUGUACAGCCUGCAGAACUGAUCAAAGGAAUACCAGUCUACUAGAAAAAAAAGAGGAUAUUUUUUACUGGCCUCACCCAUGAUGAAGACACUUUGAUGAUGGAAGAUCCCCCUAACUUUAUUCUACCUUACUUGACCCCAGAUAUGAAUACCUACAAGUGAAACCUUGCUUCUUCAUUUUGCAAUAUGAAGAAAUGCUUGCUGGGGGAACUUUCUAGCCGGAUACCCUUGAAUGCACUUCCUGAUGAAGUGGGAGAUGCGCCAGCUGCCACUACAGAUGCUGAAAGAACUGGGAACAAGUGAAGCUGAUUGUAAUAAUAUGUUGCACAAGACUGAAGGAGCUAUGGUGAUGGAGAGCCCCAGUACAGUGUGGAGGUACCAUCCAGCUAAACAAAGGCCAAGGCAAAAUUUGGCCCAUUCCUCUAGCACAACUAUGAGGAUUACUUGCUAAUAUAUUACAUGACAUGAGAGCGCUGCAAAGUAUCUCUUAAAAAGAAAAAGAAAUAGUAGCAUCAGGGAGAAACUGAAAGGUUUUUGUUCCUAGGAAUUAUAAUUGGCAAUUUAAGUAGAUUGUAUAGGCUGUGAUUUCAGAGACAUGGAGAAGGCUCUCAGCCAAGAAAUAUAUCAUUUUACUACUUGCAAAUGCUAUCAUUUCCAUCAAUAGAGAUAUAUUUAAGUCCUGUCCUGUUGUUAAAAUAAAAGUUUAGGGCUUAGUAAAUCAGCGUCAAAUCAUUUAUACCUGACUAUGAAUUAAUUAGUAUAUUACCGUCCUAGCCCAGAGAUUUGUUGACAUAUCCCAGCAGCAAAAUGGGGGAGAAAGAAAAAUAAAAGAGUGUUUCAUGUUUGAAGGAGAUGUUACAGCAUACAGGAACAGAUUACUUUAGACUUCAAAAGCAGAGGGGUGGGAAUGAGGUUUCUGGGGAUAUAAUACAAAGAGGAAGACAGAUAGUGAAGGCAAAGGUAAAGUUAAAUUUUAUUCCUUCAUUUGAAUGUUUUUGUUUGUUCAAUAAAUUGAUUGAUUGAUUGAUUGAGCCAUUUGCAAAACACUGGAUUUUUUAAGGCUAAGAGAUACUAACAUUUUAGGCCAAAGAUGAAGACUUAAUAAUUAGUAUUGUUUUUUUCUUUUCACUACUUGUAACUGCCUUUUCACUGCCUAGAAUACCACCAGGCACAUGUCAGAUAAUAAAUAUUUUUUUCAUGACUGGAUAAGUGAAUGAAUAAAACUAAAGCUCUAAAAGCAAAUAAACAGUGUUUCCUUCAAAGUUAUCACAUGG
RNAcentral lists this long non-coding RNA (2124 nucleotides) under Homo sapiens (human). RNAcentral's name for it is "HSALNT0370134". Lineage: Eukaryota; Metazoa; Chordata; Mammalia; Primates; Hominidae. The record is from RNAcentral.